Molecule: long non-coding RNA, 942 nt
Organism: Neopelma chrysocephalum (saffron-crested tyrant-manakin)
Lineage: Eukaryota; Metazoa; Chordata; Aves; Passeriformes; Pipridae
Exons: 3
Source: RefSeq, a predicted model, not a curated record
GGUCUUGUUUUGGGGUAUCUCAGGUUUGGGGAUGUGCAGGUUUGAGGUGUCCUGGGUUGGGGGGUCCUGGAUUUGGGGGUCUCUUGGUUUGGGGUGUCUUGGGUUUGGGGAUGUGCAGGUUUGAGAUGUCCUGCUUUGGUGGGUCCUGGGUUGAGGUGUCCUGGUUUGGUGGGUCCUGGUUUGGGGGUGUCCAGGGUUCAAGAGGUCUUGGGUUUGGGGAUGUCAAGGUUUGAGGUGUCCUGCUUUGGGGGAAUCUUGUUUUGGGGUGUCCUGAUUUGGGGAUCUCCAGGUUUGAGGUGUCCUGAUUUGGGAUGUGCAGGUUUGAGAUGUCCUGGGUUGGGGUGUCUUGUUUUGGGGUGUCCUGAUUUGGGAAUGUGCAGGUUUGAGGUGUCCUGGGUUAGGGGGUCCUGGUUUUGGGGGUCUUGUUUUGGGGCAUCCUGAUUUGGGGUUGUCCUGGAUUUGGGGGUCUCCUGGUUUUGGGUGUCUUGGGUUUGGGGAUGUGCAGGUUUGAGGUGUCCUGGGUUGGGGGGUCCUGGAUUUGGGGGUCUCUUGGUUUGGGGUGUCUUGGGUUUGGGGAUGUGCAGGUUUGAGAUGUCCUGCUUUGGUGGGUCCUGGGUUGAGGUGUCUUGGGUUUGGGGAUGUCAAGGUUUGAGGUGUCCUGCUUUGGGGGAAUCUUGUUUUGGGGUGUCCUGAUUUGGGGAUCUCCAGGUUUGAGGUGUCCUGAUUUGGGAUGUGCAGGUUUGAGAUGUCCUGGGUUGGGGUGUCUUGUUUUGGGGUGUCCUGAUUUGGGAAUGUGCAGGUUUGAGGUGUCCUGGGUUAGGGGGUCCUGGUUUUGGGGGUCUUGUUUUGGGGCAUCCUGAUUUGGGGUUGUCCUGGAUUUGGGGGUCUCCUGGUUUUGGGUGUCUUGGGUAUGGGGAUGUGGAAGUUUGAGAGUGUCCUGCU